GACGAACGCUGGCGGCGUGCUUAACACAUGCAAGUCGAACGGAAAGGCCCUGCUUUUGUGGGGUGCUCGAGUGGCGAACGGGUGAGUAACACGUGAGUAACCUGCCCUUGACUUUGGGAUAACUUCAGGAAACUGGGGCUAAUACCGGAUAGGAGCUCCUGCUGCAUGGGGGGGGUUGGAAAGUUUCGGCGUUUGGGGAUGGACUGGCGGCUUAUCAGCUUGUUGGUGGGGUAGUGGCUUACCAAGGCUUUGACGGGUAGCCGGCCUGAGAGGGUGCCCGGCCACAUUGGGACUGAGAUACGGCCCAAACUCCUACGGGAGGAAGCAGUGGGGAAUAUUGCACAAUGGGCGGAAGCCGGAUGCAGCAACGCCGCGUGCGGGAUGACGGCCUUCGGGUUGUAACCCGCUUUCGCCUGUGACGAAGUGUGAGUGACGGUAAUGGGUAAAGAAGCACCGGCUAACUACGUG
This 468-nucleotide ribosomal RNA is filed under the name uncultured bacterium. RNAcentral's name for it is "partial 16S ribosomal RNA". It matches the Rfam family "Bacterial small subunit ribosomal RNA", at positions 28 to 507 of the family's 1533-position model. The record is from RNAcentral.